UUCUGGUUCCCGUACGAUCAUCGACGUUAAGCAACGCCGAGCCUGUUCAGUACCUAGAUGGGUGACCGUUUGGAAAACCAGGCGCUGUAA
Acanthosepion pharaonis is the source of this 90-nucleotide non-coding RNA. The record is from the annotation of a GenBank genome assembly. Lineage: Eukaryota; Metazoa; Mollusca; Cephalopoda; Sepiida; Sepiidae.